AGCAGCCGCGGUAAUUCCAGCUCCAAUAGCGUAUAUUAAAGUUGUUGCAGUUAAAAGCUCGUAGUUGAAUUUCGGGGUUAGUAGGUUGGUCAUGCCUCUGGUAUGUACUGGUCUCACUGAUUCCUCCUUCCUGAUGAACCUUAAUGCCAUUAAUUUGGUGUUUUGGGGAAUUUGGACUGUUACUUUGAAAAAUUAGAGUGUUUAAAGCAAGCUAACGCUUGAAUACAUUAGCAUGGAAUAAUGAAAUAGGACGUUCGAUCCUAUUUUGUUGGUUUCUAGGAUUGACGUAAUGAUUAAUAGGGAUAGUUGGGGGCAUUAGUAUUCAAUUGUCAGAGGUGAAAUUCUUGGAUUUAUUGAAGACUAACUACUGCGAAAAGCAUUUGCCAAGGAUGUUUUCAUUAAUCAAGAACGAAAGUUAGGGAUCGAAGACGAUCAGAUACCGUCGUAGUCUUAACCAUAAACUAUGCCGACUAGGGAUCGGAUGAUGUUAAUUUUUUAAUGUACUCAUUCGGCGCCUUAC
Molecule: unclassified non-coding RNA, 520 nt
Filed under: uncultured Glomus
Lineage: Eukaryota; Fungi; Glomeromycota; Glomeromycetes; Glomerales; Glomeraceae
Description: SSU rRNA
Rfam family: Eukaryotic small subunit ribosomal RNA
Source: RNAcentral